GACGAACGCUGGCGGCGUGCUUAACACAUGCAAGUCGAACGAUGAAGAAAAGAAUCGAAGCUUCGGCAGAAAUUCAUUUCGGAUUAGUGGCAGACGGGUGAGUAACGCGUGAGCAACCUACCUCUUACAAAGGGAUAGCCUCGGGAAACCGGGAUUAAUACCAUAUAACAUUGCGACGAAGCAUUUCGAUGCAAUCAAAGCUACGGCGGUAAGAGAUGGGCUCGCGUCCCAUUAACCGGAUGGUGAGGUAACGGCUCACCAUAGUGACGAUGGGUAACCGGCCUGAGAGGGUGAACGGUCACACUGGAACUGAGACACGGUCCAGACUCCUACGGGAGGCAGCAGUGGGGAAGAUUGCACAAUGGAGGGAACUCUGAUGCAGCGACGCCGCGUGAGUGAUGAAGGAAUUCGUUUCGUAAAACUCUGUUCUAUGGGAAGAAAAGGACUGUACCAUAGGAGAAAGCUCCGGCUAAAUACGU
This 479-nucleotide ribosomal RNA is filed under the name uncultured bacterium. RNAcentral describes it as "partial 16S ribosomal RNA". It matches the Rfam family "Bacterial small subunit ribosomal RNA", at positions 28 to 506 of the family's 1533-position model. The record is from RNAcentral.